GACGAACGCUGGCGGCGCGCUUAACACAUGCAAGUCGAACGGAAAGGCCUCCUUGGGGGUGUUGGAGGGGCGAACGGGAGAGUAAAACGGGAGAAAAAUGCGCUUGACAUCGGGAUAAAAUCAGGGAACAAGGGCUAAUAACGGGGAGGAAUUCUUGAUACAAGGGGGGGGUGGGAAAGGUUGUGGGAAUUGGGAUGGACUCGCGGGGGAUCGGCUUGGUGGUGGGGUAGUGGCUUACCAAGGCUUUGACGGGUAGAGGGCCUGAGAGGGCGACCGUCCACAUUGGGACUGAGAUACGGCCCAGACUCCUACGGGGGGCAGCAGUGGGGAAUAUUGCACCAUGUGCGGAGGCCUGGUGCAGCAACUCCGCGCGCGGGAGUACGGCCUUCGUGUUGAAAACCACUUUCAGCAGUGGCUAAGCUUGUGGUGACGGUACCUGCAGAAGAAGCACCGGCUAACUACGUG
RNAcentral lists this ribosomal RNA (465 nucleotides) under uncultured bacterium. RNAcentral's name for it is "partial 16S ribosomal RNA". It matches the Rfam family "Bacterial small subunit ribosomal RNA", at positions 28 to 507 of the family's 1533-position model. The record is from RNAcentral.